GAAAAAUAAUGAUAAAACAUGAUACUUUGAUUACUGUACAAACAGUUUUACAUAAUUCUGAUGAAAAAAUUAUGAAACUGGAAUAAAAGUAAAAUAACAAACAACACAAUAACAAAUUUGAGGGAUGUAAGAAAAUAUACCUGACAUGCUUAAGGAUGUACACCUCUGAGGAGCCAAAAAUUUCUAGAAUUAAACUUUUUUUCUUAACCUGAUUUUUGGGUUUAUAAGACUGUAAUAAAAUAAUUGGUGAAGAAAAAAAUCAUAUGGUGGUGCACUUCUAUUUUUGCUACGGCCCUUUGAAAAUGACCAAUUUUGAUGAUUUUCCCAUUUUUCAUUGAUUUUUACCUAUUUUUGGGCUAUUACCAUGAAAAAAAUCACAGUUCCACAAUUAAACUUUUUCUCAUACUUUCUAUAAAGAUGAAGUGGACCAAUCGGAAUAAAUUUUACUUACAAAA
Molecule: long non-coding RNA, 455 nt
Filed under: Mytilus galloprovincialis (Mediterranean mussel)
Lineage: Eukaryota; Metazoa; Mollusca; Bivalvia; Mytilida; Mytilidae
Source: RNAcentral